RNAcentral lists this ribosomal RNA (251 nucleotides) under uncultured prokaryote. Its description in RNAcentral is "partial 16S rRNA". It matches the Rfam family "Bacterial small subunit ribosomal RNA", at positions 525 to 775 of the family's 1533-position model. The record is from RNAcentral.
ACGGAGGGUGCAAGCGUUAAUCGGAAUUACUGGGCGUAAAGCGCACGCAGGCGGUUUGUUAAGUCAGAUGUGAAAUCCCCGGGCUCAACCUGGGAACUGCAUCUGAUACUGGCAAGCUUGAGUCUCGUAGAGGGGGGUAGAAUUCCCGGUGUAGCGGUGAAAUGCGUAGAGAUCGGGAGGAACACCAGUGGCGAAGGCGACUUACUGGACUGUAACUGACGCUGAGGCGCGAAAGUGUGGGGAGCAAACAG